AGAUGUGUGACACUUUGGUCCUUAAAUUUUAAUUUAUUAUAAUUUUUUUGAUUUUAUUAAAUCAUUAUAAUCAAGUUUCACAACCUAAUUUAAUUGGCUGAAUAUUGAUAAAUUAUUAAUGUAAAAAUAAUAUUAUAUCUUAAUUAUUGCCGCAUUAUCAAUCAUAAUAUUUUCAUAUCGCUACUGCAUUAAUAAUUUGUCAAUAUUUAGCUAACUAAAUUGGGUUCUAAGACUUAAUUGUCAUAAUUCAGUAAAUUCGGUUAAAAAUUAUAAUAAAUUAAAGAUUGAGUACCAAAGAGUCACCGCAUCAUACUUUAAGGACUAAAAGUGUAAUUUACCCUUAUUUUAUUGUUAGUAUUAAUUUAUGUGAGGAUGCUCUUAAAUUCUACCUGUUUGGUAGAUUGGCAGAGAAUAAAUUAGAAGAUGACAAUGAUCUUUUAAAAAAUAUAUAUAUAGAGAGAACUUGAAAAAACACGUGAAUAGUUCUACAAGAUGCUAAGCAGAUUGUGAGAGCCCAAAUAGUCCUAUAUAUGAGAUAUAAUAUGGCUAAACUCUUAACUCGGCUUAAGCAUUUUAGGUGGUGGCAAGGCCUAAGAGGUUAAGAUAGUUAAGCGUGUUAGGACAGGAGUAGUCCUAAGAUGGGUGACCCCCUGGGAAAUUGGGGCGUCACAGAUGGUAUCAGAGCCAAUUACCAGCCGGAAGUGUGAGAUGAGUCUCGGCUGAGCUAGUGUCUGGAUGACGGGCUAGCGAGACGAGUCUCACAUCGCCUGGUACUUGUGAGUCUGAGCCUGACGAGGACGUCAGGGCUUAAAGGAAGGGAGAUUGUGAGACCCCAGAUAGUCCUAUAUAUGAGAUAUAAUAUGGCUAAACUCUUAAUCCGGCUUAAAUAUUUUGGGUGGUGGCAAGACAUAAGAGGUUAAGAGAGUUAAACGUGCUAGGACGGAAGCAGUCCUAGAAUGGAUGACCCCCUGGGAAGUUGGGGCGUCACACAGAUGAUGAUGGACAAUGGAGGUUGAUAAUGGUCGUUGUCAAUAAUUAAUUCGAACAACGUUGAUUAGAUCAAUGGAGUACAGUAAAUGUUGAAAUUUAAUUAUUGACGUU
RNAcentral lists this long non-coding RNA (1101 nucleotides) under Ananas comosus (pineapple). RNAcentral's name for it is "long non-coding RNA (ACOM_LNC023596)". Lineage: Eukaryota; Viridiplantae; Streptophyta; Magnoliopsida; Poales; Bromeliaceae. The record is from RNAcentral.